CAGUAGCCGCGGGAAUACGUAGGUGGCAAGCGUUGUCCGGAAUUAUUGGGCGUAAAGGGCUCGCAGGCGGUUUCUUAAGUCUGAUGUGAAAGCCCCCGGCUCAACCGGGGAGGGUCAUUGGAAACUGGGAAACUUGAGUGCAGAAGAGGAGAGUGGAAUUCCACGUGUAGCGGUGAAAUGCGUAGAGAUGUGGAGGAACACCAGUGGCGAAGGCGGCUCUCUGGUCUGUAACUGACGCUGAGGAGCGAAAGCGUGGGGAGCGAACAGGAUUAGAUACCCCUGUAGUCCCUGUCUCUUAUAC
This 301-nucleotide ribosomal RNA is filed under the name uncultured bacterium. Its description in RNAcentral is "partial 16S ribosomal RNA". It matches the Rfam family "Bacterial small subunit ribosomal RNA", at positions 509 to 807 of the family's 1533-position model. The record is from RNAcentral.